Molecule: ribosomal RNA, 375 nt
Filed under: uncultured bacterium
Lineage: Bacteria
Description: bacterial SSU rRNA
Rfam family: Bacterial small subunit ribosomal RNA
Source: RNAcentral
UACGGAGGGUGCAAGCGUUAAUCGGAAUUACUGGGCGUAAAGCGCACGCAGGCGGUCUGUCAAGUCGGAUGUGAAAUCCCCGGGCUCAACCUGGGAACUGCAUCCGAAACUGGCAGGCUAGAGUCUUGUAGAGGGGGGUAGAAUUCCAGGUGUAGCGGUGAAAUGCGUAGAGAUCUGGAGGAAGACCGGUGGCGAAGGCGGCCCCCUGGACAAAGACUGACGCUCAGGUGCGAAAGCGUGGGGCGCAAACAGGAUUAGUUCCCCUGGUGGUCCCCGCCGUAAACGAUGUCGACUUGGAGGUUGUGCCCUUGAGGCGUGGCUUCCGGAGCUAACGCGUUAAGUCGCCCGCCUGGGGAGUACGGCCGCAAGGUUAAA